Molecule: long non-coding RNA, 620 nt
Organism: Dermochelys coriacea (leatherback sea turtle)
Lineage: Eukaryota; Metazoa; Chordata; Testudines; Dermochelyidae
Exons: 2
Source: RefSeq, a predicted model, not a curated record
CUGCCAGCUCCCGAGCAGGAAGAGCAGAGAGCCAAAGCCCCAUUGGUGGGGCGUCUUGUCGAAUGUGUAACCUGCUCCCGGAUUGGUAGGCUGCCUUGCGGCAUGUUGCCAUUCCCGAGGUCUUUCGCUGGCUGUGGCGAUAGUAGGGCGAGGCGACGACCAGAGCCGGAAUAGCUCGUACUAAAAGUAGCAUCUGAAAGAGUGAGUGGGAAACGGAAUUUAUGUGCACUAAGUCUUUAAAACCUACAAAGACUGUUAAAGUAUCCUACUACUGGGAUCUUCUGAUGUAAGUCACUUCUCUGAAUCGUUCCUUUUGGAUGCCUACCUCUCGCUUUCAUCUGCUGCCUUCUCUGCCUCCUCCAGUUUCUGCAGGGCUGUCGCCAGACGUUCUUGGGCACGAUCCAGCUCCUCUUCCACCAGCUGAAUACGCCGAUUCAAAGCUGCCACUUCACCUUCUGCCUAUGCAAAACAAUCAAACAGCACUGGUUAAUAGCUAGACACCAAUAAUUCAAAACUGAUCACCUCUGAUUACUUCAUUUUUCACUAUUUAUAUGCAUGGAAUUCUAGGAAGAGAUUUUUUUAGCUAUAUAACUAUAGGAAUUUGAAUGUUUGGUUUUUUU